CUAUGUUGACAUGGCAAAGGAA
Molecule: non-coding RNA, 22 nt
Filed under: unclassified sequences
Source: RNAcentral